CCUACGGGGGGCAGCAGUGGGGAAUAUUGGGCAAUGGGCGCAAGCCUGACCCAGCAACGCCGCGUGAAGGAAGUAGGCUUUCGGGUUGUAAACUUCUUUUAAGGGGGAAGAGCAGAAGACGGUACCCCUUGAAUAAGCCACGGCUAACUACGUGCCAGCAGCCGCGGUAAUACGUAGGUGGCAAGCGUUGUCCGGAUUUACUGGGUGUAAAGGGCGUGCAGCCGGAGAGUCAAGUCAGAUGUGAAAUCCACGGGCUCAACCCGUGAACUGCAUUUGAAACUGUUUCCCUUGAGUGUCGGAGAGGUGAUCGGAAUUCCUUGUGUAGCGGUGAAAUGCGUAGAUAUAAGGAAGAACACCAGUGGCGAAGGCGGAUUACUGGACGAUAACUGACGGUGAGGCGCGAAAGCGUGGGGAGCAAACAGGAUUAGAUACCCCAGUAGUC
RNAcentral lists this ribosomal RNA (442 nucleotides) under uncultured bacterium. RNAcentral's name for it is "partial 16S ribosomal RNA". It matches the Rfam family "Bacterial small subunit ribosomal RNA", at positions 338 to 795 of the family's 1533-position model. The record is from RNAcentral.